RNAcentral lists this non-coding RNA (102 nucleotides) under Bacillus glycinifermentans. Its description in RNAcentral is "SAM-I sequence". It matches the Rfam family "SAM riboswitch aptamer (S box leader)". From Rfam's summary of the family: The SAM riboswitch is found upstream of a number of genes which code for proteins involved in methionine or cysteine biosynthesis in Gram-positive bacteria. The SAM riboswitch acts at the level of transcription termination control. Lineage: Bacteria; Bacillati; Bacillota; Bacilli; Caryophanales; Bacillaceae. The record is from RNAcentral.
UUCUUAUCAAGAGCAGGUGGAGGGACGAGCCCGAUGAAGCCCGGCAACCGACUUUUUAAAAGCACGGUGCUAAUUCUUGCAGCUGCCGCUGAGAGAUAAGGA